UACGGAGGGUGCGAGCGUUGUCCGGAAUCACUGGGCGUAAAGGGCGCGUAGGCGGCCUGAUAAGUAGGGGGUGAAAUCCUGCGGCUUAACCGCAGGGCUGCCUUCUAAACUGUCGGGCUCGAGCACGGUAGAGGCAGAUGGAAUUCCCGGUGUAGCGGUGGAAUGCGUAGAGAUCGGGAAGAACAUCAGUGGCGAAGGCGGUCUGCUGGGCCGUUGCUGACGCUGAGGCGCGACAGCGUGGGGAGCAACAGG
Molecule: ribosomal RNA, 252 nt
Filed under: uncultured bacterium
Lineage: Bacteria
Description: partial 16S ribosomal RNA
Rfam family: Bacterial small subunit ribosomal RNA
Source: RNAcentral